CGGAGGAAAAGAAACCAACAGGGAUUGCCCCAGUAACGGCGAGUGAAGCGGCAACAGCUCAAAUUUGAAAUCUGGCCCUCGCGGUCCGAGUUGUAAUUUGUAGAGGAUGCUUUUGGUGCGGUGCCUUCCGAGUUCCCUGGAACGGGACGCCAUAGAGGGUGAGAGCCCCGUCUGGUUGGAUGCCAAACCUCUGUAAAGCUCCUUCGACGAGUCGAGUAGUUUGGGAAUGCUGCUCAAAAUGGGAGGUAUAUGUCUUCUAAAGCUAAAUACCGGCCAGAGACCGAUAGCGCACAAGUAGAGUGAUCGAAAGAUGAAAAGCACUUUGAAAAGAGGGUUAAAUAGUACGUGAAAUUGUUGAAAGGGAAGCGUUUGUGACCAGACUUGGGCUCGGUGAAUCAUCCGGCGUUCUCGCCGGUGCACUUCGCCGGUCCAGGCCAGCAUCGGUUCGCUCGCGGGGGAUAAAGGCGUCGGGAAUGUGGCUCCUCGGAGUGUUAUAGCCCUUCGCACAAUACCCUGCGGUGGACCGAGGUUCGCGCAUCUGCAAGGAUGCUGGCGUAAUGGUCAUCAACGACCCGUCUUGAAACACGGACCAAGGAGUCGUCUUCGUAUGCGAGUGUUCGGGUGUCAAACCCCUACGCGUAAUGAAAGUGAACGGAGGUGAGAGCUACGGCGCAUCAUCGACCGAUCCUGAUGUUCUCGGAUGGAUUUGAGUAAGAGCAUACGGGGCCGGACCCGAAAGAAGGUGAACUAUGCCUGUAUAGGGUGAAGCCAGAGGAAACUCUGGUGGAGGCUCGCAGCGGUUCUGACGUGCAAAUCGAUCGUCAAAUAUGGGCAUGGGGGCGAAAGACUAAUCGAACCUUCUAGUAGCUG
This 870-nucleotide ribosomal RNA is filed under the name Thyronectria austroamericana. RNAcentral describes it as "eukaryotic LSU rRNA". It matches the Rfam family "Eukaryotic large subunit ribosomal RNA", at positions 51 to 953 of the family's 3401-position model. The record is from RNAcentral. Lineage: Eukaryota; Fungi; Ascomycota; Sordariomycetes; Hypocreales; Nectriaceae.